RNAcentral lists this non-coding RNA (25 nucleotides) under Mus musculus (house mouse). The record is from RNAcentral. Lineage: Eukaryota; Metazoa; Chordata; Mammalia; Rodentia; Muridae.
UGAUUGGUGGGUAGUCGUAAUUGUC